RNAcentral lists this ribosomal RNA (531 nucleotides) under uncultured bacterium. Its description in RNAcentral is "bacterial SSU rRNA". It matches the Rfam family "Bacterial small subunit ribosomal RNA", at positions 777 to 1304 of the family's 1533-position model. The record is from RNAcentral.
AAUAGAUACCCCGGUAGUCCACGCCGUAAACGAUGAGUGCUAAGUGUUAGAGGGUUUCCGCCCUUUAGUGCUGCAGCAAACGCAUUAAGCACUCCGCCUGGGGAGUACGGUCGCAAGACUGAAACUCAAAGGAAUUGACGGGGGCCCGCACAAGCGGUGGAGCAUGUGGUUUAAUUCGAAGCAACGCGAAGAACCUUACCAGGUCUUGACAUCCUUAUGCCAUCUCUAGAGAUAGAGCUUUCCCUUCGGGGACAUAAGUGACAGGUGGUGCAUGGUUGUCGUCAGCUCGUGUCGUGAGAUGUUGGGUUAAGUCCCGCAACGAGCGCAACCCUUGAUCUUAGUUGCCAGCAUUCAGUUGGGGCACUCUAAGGUGACUGCCGGUGACAAACCGGAGGAAGGUGGGGAUGACGUCAAAUCAUCAUGCCCCUUAUGACCUGGGCUACACACGUGCUACAAUGGAUGGUACAAAGGGCAGCGAAACCGUGAGGUUAAGCAAAUCCCAUAAAACCAUUACUCAGUUCGGAUUGCAGG